GAUGAACGCUGGCGGCGUGCCUAAUACAUGCAAGUAGAACGCUGAAGGAGGAGCUUGCUCUUCUGGAUGAGUUGCGAACGGGUGAGUAACGCGUAGGUAACCUGCCUGGUAGCGGGGGAUAACUAUUGGAAACGAUAGCUAAUACCGCAUGACAACAGUUAUUGCAUGAUAACUGUUUAAAAGGGGCAACUGCUCCACUACCAGAUGGACCUGCGUUGCAUUAGCUAGUUGGUGAGGUAACGGCUCACCAAGGCGACGAUACAUAGCCGACCUGAGAGGGUGAUCGGCCACACUGGGACUGAGACACGGCCCAGACUACUACGGGAGGCAGCAGUAGGGAAUCUUCGGCAAUGGACGGAAGUCUGACCGAGCAACGCCGCGUGAGUGAAGAAGGUUUUCGGAUCGUAAAGCUCUGUUGUAAGAGAAGAACGAGUGUGAGAGUGGAAAGUUCACACUGUGACGGUAUCUUACCAGAAAGGGACGGCUAACUACGUG
RNAcentral lists this ribosomal RNA (495 nucleotides) under uncultured bacterium. RNAcentral describes it as "partial 16S ribosomal RNA". It matches the Rfam family "Bacterial small subunit ribosomal RNA", at positions 28 to 507 of the family's 1533-position model. The record is from RNAcentral.